This 440-nucleotide ribosomal RNA is filed under the name Pichia sp. RNAcentral describes it as "partial large subunit ribosomal RNA". It matches the Rfam family "Eukaryotic large subunit ribosomal RNA", at positions 151 to 601 of the family's 3401-position model. Lineage: Eukaryota; Fungi; Ascomycota; Pichiomycetes; Pichiales; Pichiaceae. The record is from RNAcentral.
GCAGGUUGGAGUCUGUGUGGAAGGCGGUGUCCAAGUCCCUUGGAACAGGGCGCCCAGGAGGGUGAGAGCCCCGUGGGAUGCCGGCGGAAGCAGUGAGGCUCCUUCUGACGAGUCGAGUUGUUUGGGAAUGCAGCUCCAAGCGGGUGGUAAAUUCCAUCUAAGGCUAAAUACUGGCGAGAGACCGAUAGCGAACAAGUACUGUGAAGGAAAGAUGAAAAGCACUUUGAAAAGAGAGUGAAACAGCACGUGAAAUUGUUGAAAGGGAAGGGUAUUGCGCCCGACAUGGGGAUUGCGCACCGCUGCCUCUCGUGGGCGGCGCUCUGGGCUUUCCCUGGGCCAGCAUCGGUUCUUGCUGCAGGAGAAGGGGUUCUGGAACGUGGCUCUUCGGAGUGUUAUAGCCAGGGCCAGAUGCUGCGUGCGGGGACCGAGGACUGCGGCCG